UCAUCUGGGCCUGGACCUGAAGAGGCACAAAGGGAUAUUUUGGGGUCCCUGAUGAGGGUCCCAGGUGUCCCGCAUGUUUUAAAUAAUUAGCUUUUUUUGAUUAAUAAGGAGAAUUUAUUUCAUAAUUAAAAUACAGUCUUAGAAUGUCUAGAAGCAAAUAUCAGAUUGGCCCUGAAGCAGGCUGACAGCGUCAGGUGAGACAGGUGGGGCAUUUCUCUCCCCUGUGCAUCACUAAGGGACAGCUCUCACAAAGUGUUUUUGUACAUUUCCAAGCUCCAAGGGUUGUUGGGGGCAGGCGUUUUUCUGCUUUCUUAUGGUUGAUCUUAUCCUUUUUGCAUUUUCAUGUAGUUUUUCCUUUCUUGCUGCAGCUCUUGCUGAGAGUUUCCCCAAAACUGCUGAACCUGCUGGUGAAGGUGGUGCAGCUUCCCAAGCCACGUCCAGGACUGAGGCUGUGGGAGAUGCCGAGGGUGUGUCUGCAGGGAGGACUUGUCCAGCUCCUUUGCUGAUUCCUACACAGAAGCCUGGCAACCAUCGCAGGGGUCCUCUGAGGGGGAAGGACCAAGCUACAGGACACCAGAAACUCCAUGAUCCAUCCAAAAACAUGAGGCAAAUGCUGAAGGAAAUGCAGCAGGCAGGAGAAGAAGUGGAUGCAGAGGCUGGGCAUAAGGCGGCGUUUCCCAGAGGAAGCAGUGGUUCCGUGCCAGCCUCUGCUGCAGGAAGAGAGGCGAUGCCAGGCCCAGGCCCAGGAG
Molecule: long non-coding RNA, 749 nt
Organism: Passer domesticus (house sparrow)
Lineage: Eukaryota; Metazoa; Chordata; Aves; Passeriformes; Passeridae
Exons: 5
Source: RefSeq, a predicted model, not a curated record